RNAcentral lists this ribosomal RNA (447 nucleotides) under uncultured bacterium. RNAcentral's name for it is "bacterial SSU rRNA". It matches the Rfam family "Bacterial small subunit ribosomal RNA", at positions 28 to 458 of the family's 1533-position model. The record is from RNAcentral.
GAUGAACGCUGGCGGCGUGCUUAACACAUGCAAGUCGAACGGGAAACCUUUUAUUGAAGCUUCGGCAGAUUUAGCUGGUUUCUAGUGGCGGACGGGUGAGUAACGCGUGGGUAACCUGCCUUAUACAGGGGGAUAACAACCAGAAAUGGUUGCUAAUACCGCAUAAGCGCACAGGACCGCAUGGUCCGGUGUGAAAAACUCCGGUGGUAUAAGAUGGACCCGCGUUGGAUUAGCUAGUUGGCAGGGUAACGGCCUACCAAGGCGACGAUCCAUAGCCGGCCUGAGAGGGUGAACGGCCACAUUGGGACUGAGACACGGCCCAGACUCCUACGGGAGGCAGCAGUGGGGAAUAUUGCACAAUGGGGGAAACCCUGAUGCAGCGACGCCGCGUGAAGGAAGAAGUAUCUCGGUAUGUAAACUUCUAUCAGCAGGGAAGAUAGUGACGGU